Molecule: ribosomal RNA, 406 nt
Filed under: uncultured bacterium
Lineage: Bacteria
Description: partial 16S ribosomal RNA
Rfam family: Bacterial small subunit ribosomal RNA
Source: RNAcentral
AUUGAACGCUGGCGGCAGGCCUAACACAUGCAAGUCGAGCGAGUGGCGGACGGGUGAGUAAUGUCUGGGAAACUGCCCGAUGGAGGGGGAUAACUACUGGAAACGGUAGCUAAUACCGCAUACCAUCGGAUGUGCCCAGAUGGGAGUAGCUAGUAGGUGGGGUAACGGCUCACCUAGGCGACGAUCCCUAGAUGGUCUGAGAGGAUUACCAGCCACACUGGAACUGAGACACGGUCAAGACUCCUACGGGAGGCAGCAGUGGGGAAUAUUGCACAAUGGGCGCAAGCCUGAUGCAGCCAUGCCGCGGGUAUGAAGAAGGCCUUAGGGUUUUAAAGUACUUUCAGCGGGGAGUCGUUACCCGCAGAAGAAGCACCGGCUAACUCCGUGCCAGCAGCCGCGGUAAUUC